GCCUAGAAUGGGUUUCAGCCUUGGGGGGUGGUUCACAAUAACUGCAGGAGCCACCAUUGAUUUGCUGUCUGCUGGAUGCAAAGCCCAGCGUUAACCCUUCACUCGCGACUUUCGCUUCACCUUCACAGCAGCCCUGCGAGGAGGCCGGCCCUGGCCAGAUGAAACUCACCUGACAUUCCCAAGGUGUCUGCACGAGUGGCUUUGGGAGUUACUGAACUCUUCAGGACCUGGGUACAGGAGAGUUUUGGACUGGGGCAACCUUUACCAGUGUUGAGAAGUGAUGCUGUGUGGCAGUGCUGAAUCUCUCUGAAUAUGAUUCGAAUUGCAGCCUUAAAUGCCAGCUCCACCGUUGAGGAUGAUCAUGAAGGAAGCUUUAAAAGUCACAAAACCCAGACAAAGGAGGCUCAGGAAGCAGAGGCUUUUGCAUUGUACCACAAGGCCCUGGAUCUGCAGAAACAUGACCGGUUUGAGGAGUCUGCCAAAGCCUACCAAAAGCUCUUGGAGGCGCGUUUGCUGCGGGAGAUGGGGUCUCACUCUAUACCCCAGGCUGGAGUGCAAUGGCACAAUCUCAGCUCAUUGCAACCUCCGCCUCCCAGGUUAAAGCUAUCCUCCGGCCUCAGCUCUUGAAUAGCUGUGAUUAUAGCUAACCUGCCCCCCACCCGUGGCCAGGCACCUGCCUAUGGGGUUUCAUCUAUGCAGCCUCUGCAAACCACAGCAGUCUGAAGGUCAGGGUGUGGUCGAGAAAUGUUGCUCCAAGGGGGAAAAGCUGGAAAAGAGCAGGAAGCCAAAAAGCUUGAAGCCUGGUCAUUCCAGGUGGUACCCCAUCCAAGCAUCUGUUAGGCCCAACCCUGCUUAGCUUCUGGGCUGGGGGUCCUCAGUCUACUAUGGUGAUGGGAGGCUGCUGAAACAAACCCCCACGGAGAAGUUGCAGUUCGAGGUGGGGGCACUGGAGGGAGGAAAUGGGAGAUUAGGGAGUCAGAGGGCAGUUGGAAAUCGUUGCCAAAAGUGAAGGAAAGCAGGAAGUUAGCAGGAGUCCAAAAGUCUCCAGCCACUGGACUCCCAAGGUGGUCCCUCAUGCCCUCCUCUGCUCAGCUUGUAUGCUGGGGCACCCUCAGGCUGCUAUGCCAACUGGAGUCAGCCCAGCUAAUUUUUUGUAUUUUUAGUAAAGACAGGGUUUCACCUUGUUGACCAGGAUGGUCUCAAUCUCUUGACCUCGUGAUCCACCCGCCUCGGCCUCCCGAAGUGCUGGGAUUACAGGCUUGAGCCACUGCACCCAGCCUACUUUUCUUUUAAUUGGCUUAUUUUGUGAGCAUAACAACAAACAGAAUAAUUCAGACAGAAAUGGCUCUGGCCGGCAUGAUUCCAGGGAUGUGAAGCUCAAGAACAGACACUGCUAUGUGCAGUGCCAGAAGCCAGGGCACCAGCGGCGCAGGAAAUGUACUGAGGGAGAAAGAACACGAGGACACCUCCACCAGGUGGCAGCCACAAGGGCGUAUAGAUGUUUAAAGUAACAAUAAAUUUUAAAAAAGAAUCACACAUGUUAUGGACUAAAUGUGUCCCCCAAAAUUCAUAUGUUGAAGCCUUGAGGCCAGGUACAGUGGCUCAUGCCUAUAAUCCCAGCACUUUGGGAGGCCAAGGCAGGAGGAGCUCUUGAAUCUAGGAGUUCAAGACCAGCCUGGGCAACAUGGCCAAACCUUUUCUAUACAAAAAAAUUUUUUUAAAACCUUAGCCAGUGUGUUGGCACAUGCCUGCGGUCCCAGCUACUCAGGAGACUGAGGUAGGAGGAUUGCUUGAGCCCAGGAGGUUGAGGCUGCAGUGAGCCAUGAUCGCAACACUGUACUCCAGCCUGGGCAACAGAGUGAGACCCUGUCUCAAAAAAAAAAAAGCUAACCUCCAAUGUCACAGUGCAGUAUAUGGAGGGGGGGGGCCUUUGUGAUACAAUUAGGUUAGAUGAGGAUGGGGCCCCUUCGAUGGAAUUAGUGGCCUUCUAAGAAGAGGAAGAGACACCAUAACUGCCCUCUUCCUCCUCCUCCCCUUCAUGCUCCACCCCCCUCCUCCCACCUUCCUUGUGAGGACCCAGGGGCCAUCUGCAAACCCAAGGAGAGAGCCCUUGCCGGACCUGAAUCCACAGCCCCUCGAAGCUGGGCUUCCAGCAUACAGAACUGUGAGGGAUGAACAUGCCUUGUUUAAGCCCCCAGUCCAUUCAGCAGUAUUCUAUUCCAGCAGCCCAGGAAAGCUAAGUCUACACAGCAGGAAAAUGCUGAAGCCACGAAGGAACCCAGGGGUCUGAUUUCCAGAGCUUUCAUCGUGACUACCCCGUGUUUGCUUUCCUAGAGAGGACUCUAGAAACCUGAACCCGCCCCCCUUCAGCUCCCCACCGCCCUGGCAAAGGGCUCCAGCUGCUCUGGAUGAUGAGGAAGCCAGGCACCUCUGACAAGGUACCUCCCCGUGGUGGGGCCGUGCAUCGCAGGGUCCAACAGCACCUCCGGCCUCCAUGCAGUACCCUAGCAGCCCACCUCCCCACAAUUGUGACAACCAGAAAUGUUGCCACACAUUGUCAAGUGUCUCCUGGGAGCAAAAUCACUGGGCUGAGAACCGCGGCUGCGUGGGAAGUUGGCACACAGCCGGGAGAGUCAGCACCAAAGAGAAGCAACAAUUAACGCAGCGAUAAUAAAUGCAACAAUAACAGCUACUGUAGAAACAAUCAUUUUGAUCAUCACAACCACAACAAAAGCAAUCGCAGGAGCAGGGGCAGCAGCAUACACAACCUCACAGUGCCCCAGCAGGACAGCACAUGGCUAAUUGUGGAGUGUGUGUGAAGUGUGUGUGGUGAGUGGUGUGUGUCUGUGUGAGGUGUGUGCACUGUGGAGUGUGGUGAGUGGUGUGUGUGUGAGGUGUGCACUGAGUGUGGGUGGUGCAUGUCUACAGGUAUAGGAUGAGUCUGUGGGUGUGGAGGGCGUGUCCACGGGGGUGGAAGGACACCCCCGUGGUAGUCAGCAAUGCCCCCAAAACCCCAUGUGUCAGGAACCAGGCUCGGCCUUGCUGGCGAGGUCACCGGAGCCUGUCGCUGCAAACAGCGUCCCUGGGAAAAGAGAAGGCUGCAGUGACCCCCAGACCUGUGACCUGCUGGGGGUCCCGCCGGCUGCAGGUGGCUGGGGUCGAAUUGUGUUCUGGGCAAUGCUGGUGCCACUUAAUGAAAUACACACAGGGCGGCCAGGCGGCUCCCUUGGCCCAGACCUCAGCCUCCCUGAAGUGACUCCGGAUGGCCCCGAGAGUCCCCGCGUCCUACAACCACCCACGCUGGCUGCGCACAACCUGUUUGCGUAGCUGCUAGGAGGUGGCCAUGGCGAGUAAUCUGGGCUGAGGGAAGCCUGGCGCUAACACAAUCCCCUCUGACGGUCAAAGUCAGAAUCACAACUGCCCACACAGGGGCUGGGAAUGGCUGGGUCCCCACAGACCCUUCCAGAAGCCAACAGGCCGGGAGGUGCUGGAUGAACAGGAGCAGAAUGGAUUAAAGAUGAAGCACAAAUAAAAAUGGGAUUGGGGCAAGGUGGCCCGGGGUGCCUGGGCCCCCAGGUGGCUUCAGAUGCAUGGCUGUGGGUCUGUCGGGCCCCUCCUGUGUGCCGGCUUCCCCCGCAGAUCUCAGGAGCCCAGUGCCUGCCUGGGCCUUGAGCAGGAGUUCAGGGGACACUCAGUGAGUGCCAGGCACCAGGCAGUGAUGGUGUGAUGGAGUAAAGUCGCUGACCAGAAACUAUGUGUGGUGCCCAGGGAGCGGGGCUGUGGACAGGGCCACCGGGUCUCCCUCAGCCACAGAUGAGGAACCCAGGCUAUCAGAGGUGAGGCGCCUGAACCCGCUUGGCCCCAGACCCCAGCUUUGCUGCCUCCGGCCCUGAGAUUCUCCACUUCCACACUCGUGACUGCCCACUUACCCAAAUAAGCCUGGGGCCCCAGUCACACACCUCACGCUACGCCAGGCAGCAAGGAGGGCCCCGGCCAAUGCGGAGCCUGGCACGGGGCCGAUGCUCCAGAGAUGCUUGUGAAUGGGAGGGAAAAGCAGAGGCUGCCACCGCAUGUGGCAGAUGGGGAAACUGGGCCCCAAAAAGGGCAGGGGCACAGGAGAAGCCGUGGAAGGGCCAGGGCAGACCCCAGGCUGGGCCGUGGCAGCCCCCGCCCCACAGCCUACCCUGAGCCUGAAGCAACGGUGGGAGGAGGAAGGGAAAGAAAAGCCACAGAGGUGGGUGGCCAGAUGGGCAGGGGCUGCCCCGAGCCACUGCCUCCAUCACCCCCGGCCUGCAAGGGGGUGAAUGCCAAGGCUUCUGCAGCCUCCAAGGAGGCAGCCGUUGCCAUGGUGACCACCGUUAUCUGGCAACUGAGCUGCAUCGUCCUGGGCACCUGCUGUCUGUUCUCUGGAGCUGCUGGCUGGCUCUAGGGACAGACCUGUGUCCAAGAGCCCCCCGUCUCAGAAAACCCACCUGUGGGGACAAGCCAGGGUCUUGCAUGCAGGCUGGAGUGCGGUGACACGGUCACAGCUCACUGCAACCUUGACCUACUGGAUUCAAGGGCCCUCCCACCUCAGCUUCUCAAGUAAUUGGGACCACAGCUGUUGGCUGGACACAGUGGCUUACAUCUGUAAUUCCGGAAUUGGGGAGGCUAAGGUGGGUGAAGUGCUUGAACCCAGAAGUUUGAGACCAGCCUAGGCGACAUGGCAAAACCGAGUCUCUACAUCUUGACACAACAAAACAAAACCUGAAAUUAGCCGGUCAUCUGCAGUCCCAGCUACAUACUCAGGAAACUAAGGCCAGCGGAUCUGUUGAGUCCUGGAGAUCGAGGCUGCAGUGAGCCACCAUCAUACCACUGCACUCCAGCCUGGGCAACAGAAAGAGACCCUGUCUCAAAAAAAUAAUAAAGUACAUAAAUAAACUGUG
RNA transcript from Callithrix jacchus (white-tufted-ear marmoset), 4925 nucleotides. It is a transcript of the gene named calcineurin-binding protein cabin-1, with no coding region annotated. The record is from RefSeq and is a predicted model, not a curated record. NCBI's taxonomy places the organism in Eukaryota, Metazoa, Chordata, Mammalia, Primates, Cebidae.